Molecule: ribosomal RNA, 254 nt
Filed under: uncultured bacterium
Lineage: Bacteria
Description: partial 16S ribosomal RNA
Rfam family: Bacterial small subunit ribosomal RNA
Source: RNAcentral
GACAUAGGGGGCGAACGUUAUCCGGAAUUAUUGGGCGUAAAGGAUGCGUAGGUGGUAGAAUAAGUUACUGGUCGAUGCCAAACUCAAUUUGACGGAAGCUGGUAAUACUGUUCUGCUCGAGGGCAGGAGAGGUUGAUGGAAUUCUGUGUGGAGCGGUGAAAUGCGUUGAUCUACAGAGGAACACCAAAAAAGGCGAAGGCAGUCAACUAUUCUGUUCCUGACAUUGAGGCAUGAAAGCGUGGGGAGCAAACCGG